This 680-nucleotide ribosomal RNA is filed under the name uncultured Acidobacteriota bacterium. RNAcentral's name for it is "bacterial SSU rRNA". It matches the Rfam family "Bacterial small subunit ribosomal RNA", at positions 76 to 735 of the family's 1533-position model. Lineage: Bacteria; Pseudomonadati; Acidobacteriota. The record is from RNAcentral.
CCCGCAAGGGAUGAGUAGAGUGGCAAACGGGUGAGUAACACGUGGGUGACCUGCCUUCGAGCGGGGGAUAACGUCCCGAAAGGGACGCUAAUACCGCAUGACAUCCCGCCUUUGAAGAGGUGGAGAUCAAAGCUGGGGAUCGCAAGACCUAGCACUUGAAGAGGGGCCCGCGUCUGAUUAGCUAGUUGGUGGGGUAACGGCUCACCAAGGCAACGAUCAGUAUCCGGCCUGAGAGGGCGGACGGACACACUGGGACUGAGACACGGCCCAGACUCCUACGGGAGGCAGCAGUGGGGAAUUGUUCGCAAUGGGCGCAAGCCUGACGACGCAACGCCGCGUGGAGGAUGAAGACCUUCGGGUCGUAAACUCCUUUCGAUCGAGACGAAUGGCUUCCGGGUGAACAAUCCGGAAGAAUGACGGUACCGAGAGAAGAAGCCCCGGCUAACUCCGUGCCAGCAGCCGCGGUAAUACGGGGGGGGCAAGCGUUGUUCGGAAUUACUGGGCGUAAAGGGCUCGUAGGCGGCCAACUAAGUCAGACGUGAAAUCCCUCGGCUUAACCGGGGAACUGCAUCUGAUACUGGAUGGCUUGAGAUUGGGAGAGGGAUGCGGAAUUCCAGGUGUAGCGGUGAAAUGCGUAGAUAUCUGGAGGAACACCGGUGGCGAAGGCGGCAUCCUGGACC